Mesoplodon densirostris (Blainville's beaked whale) is the source of this 3235-nucleotide RNA transcript. It is a transcript of the gene named synaptojanin 2 binding protein, with no coding region annotated. The record is from RefSeq and is a predicted model, not a curated record. The transcript has 6 exons. Lineage: Eukaryota; Metazoa; Chordata; Mammalia; Artiodactyla; Ziphiidae.
GUGGCCGUCGCCGGGGUGAUUUUCACCUUCGCCUCCGCGAGCCCUCGCUGACCCAGGUUGGGAAGGCAGACAAGAGUAAAAUAUGAACGGAAGAGUGGAUUACUUGCUUACUGAGGAGGAGAUCAAUCUCACUAGAGGACCCUCAGGGCUGGGCUUCAACAUCGUCGGUGGCACAGAUCAGCAGUAUGUCUCCAAUGACAGUGGCAUCUUCGUCAGCAGCAUCAAAGAGAACGGGGCUGCAGCCCUGGAUGGGCGGCUCCAGGAGGGUGAUAAGAUCCUCUCGGUAAAUGGCCAAGACCUAAAGAACCUGCUGCACCAGGAUGCUGUAGACCUCUUUCGUAAUGCAGGCUAUGCUGUGUCCCUGAGAGUGCAGCACAGGUUACAGGUGCAGAAUGGGCCUAUAGGACAUCACGGUGAAGGGGAGCCAAGUGGUAUUCCCAUAACUGUGGUGCUGGUGCCAGUGUUUGCCCUCAUCAUGGUAGCAGCCUGGGCCUUCGUGAGAUACCGGCAGCGACUUUGAAAAGCUUGCUUUCUUCCAGUGCUCCCAGAGAAGAAGAUACAUUUCUCUCUUUCUCUCACCCUCCUCCCCUGCCGUUCUCCCAUAACUUUCCCUCUCUCUACAUAGCCAACACACGAUUUAAAGAGACUGCUACCCAACCAGAACCUUGCUGCUCGAAAUCUCUAAAUCCUCAUACUCUAGUGGGAGAGUAAAGGCAUUGUUUGAAGGAAAGCUGAAAGAAGGACUUGCUUAGAACAAAUGAAGAGUUAUAUAUUUUACUAGAACCACCAAUAGAAGUUCAGCUGCAACCCAGAGAGGGAGAGGUCCAGUCUUCCCAUCACCAUGCGUGAUUCCUUUUUUCUUACCUGGCAUGUGUCAAAGAUCAGCUGUAAUAAGAGGAAGAAAGGAUUUUUCUCUUUAAUGAUCUUCGUUGGGAAGUUUUUGUGUCCUUUAUUUAAUUUCUAACUACCUACUUGGGCACCUACUUUGUAUCAAACAAAGAGUCACAUGGAACAGCAAUCAUCUGAUGGCAGAAGAAGGAAAUGACUGAGAUAGCCAAAGGUAAUCAGAACUAUCUAGAAAAUAGCAAAGAACAAGAAAGGAAGCAAAACAACAACAGUUCUGGUUCAAGGUGACAACAUAGGAAAAUCCUGAUCUCACUUCUUCUCACACACUGAGUCUACAGCUACAUACAGAACAAUUUUCUCUUAAAAAAACCUAAAGACUGGCUAAGUGAUGACCACAUCAGGCAAACAAGAGGAAAACCACCUCAAACUGGGCUGGAGGCUGGGAUACAAUCUUGCCAUAAACCCCAUCCCCAGCACAGUGUCACUCAACCCAGAGAAAACUCAAAACCCGAAGCUUCUCCCUGAGGAGAAAAGGGUUUUAUUUCCACAUCAGUAACCUCAACUGUUAAGACCUGCACCAGAGAGAUGACCCCCAACAUCUUUGAAAACUAAUGGGACCCACAAGACUGUAGUAAUCUGGGAGACAUUUCUUAAAGGGCCCAUGCACUGAGAAGAGCACCAGGGCUUAGCUCAUCCAUCAGCCAAUCACACCCAGACUUAAAGUGAAAGAGACUGGAAGAUCAGGAACAAGACAAGGAUGACCACUAUCACCACUUUUAUUCAACACAGUAUUGGAAAUCCUAGCCACGGCAAUGAGACAAGAAAUAGAAACAAAAGGGAUCCAAGUUGAAAGGAAGAAGUAAAGCUGUCAUUGUUUGCAGAUGACAUGAUACUAUACAUAGAAAAUCCUAAAGACACCACUGGAAAACUACUAGAACUCAUCAAUGAAUACAGUAAAGUUGCAUAAUAAAAAAUUAAUAUACAAAAAUUUGUUGCAUUUCAAUACACUAACAAACUAUCAGAGAAAAUAAGAAAACAAUCCCAUGCAAAGAAUGAAAUACCUAGGAUAAAAUCUAAGGAGGUAAAAUGUACUUGGAAAACUAUAAGAAAUUAAUGAAAAAAAAUUGAAGACAAUACAAACAAAUGGAAAGAUAUACCAUGCUCAUGGAUUGGAAAAAUUAAUAUUGUUAAAAUGAACUUACUACCCAGGGCAGUCUACGGAUUCAGUGCAAUCCUUAUGAAAAUACCAAUAGCAUUUUUCACAGAACUAGAACAAAUAAUUCUGAAAUUUCCAUGGAAAUACAAAAGACCCUAAAUAUCCAAAGCAAUCUUGAGAGAGAAGAACAAAGCUGGAAGUAUCACACUUCCUGAAUUCAAACUAUACUACAAAACUACAGUAGUGAAAAACCCACAUUUAUGCAGAAAUUAACCUACAACAAAGGAGGCAAGAAAAUACAGUGGGGAACAGAUAACCUUUUUGGUAAAUUGUGUUGGGAAAACUGGACAGGAACAUACAAAAGAAUCAAACAGGACAACUUUCUCACCCUUUAUGUAUAAAUAAACUCAUAAUGGAUUAAAGACUCAAAUGUAAGACCUGAAAUCAUAAAACAUCUAGAAGGAAACAGAGAGAGUGCAUUCUUUGACAUUCUUCUUAGCAAUAUAUUUUUGGAUAUGUCUCCUUUGGCAAAGGAAACAAAAGAAAAAAUAAACAAAUGGAACCUAAUCAAAGUAAAAAGGUUUUGCACAGUGGCAGAAACUAUUGACAAAAUGAAAAGGCCGCCUAAUGAAUGGGAACAGAUAUUUGCAAAUGAUAUAUCUGAUGAGGGGUUAAUAUCCACAAUAUACAACUAAACAUGAAAAAAAAACCCAAUAAGCUGAUUAAAACAUGGGCAAAGGACCUGAAGAGUCUCCAAAGAAGACAUAUAGAUGGCCAACAGGCACAUGAAAAGAUGCUCAACAUUACUAAUCAUUAGAGAAAUGCAAAUCAGAGAUACAAUGAGAUGCGACCUCACAACUUUCAGAAUGGUUAUUAUCAAAAAGACAAGGAACAACGAGUGUCAGUGAAGAUGUGGAGAAAAGGGAACCCUCAUGCAUUGUUGGUAGGAAUUUAAAUUGGUGCAGCCACUAUGGAAGACAGUAUGGAGAUUUAUCAAAAGCUAAAAGUAAAACUACCAUAUGGUCCAGCAAUUCCACACCUGGGUAUAUAUAAGAAGAAAAGGAAAACGCUAAUUCAGAAGGCCAACAGCUGAAGUUUCUGUGGAAAUUCUAGAGGCCAGAAGAGUGUGGCAUCUGGCGUCAUAUAUUUAAAGUGUAGUAACCUUAAAUGAGUAUAAUCUAUAAAUAUAUUGAAUCACUGUGUUGUACACCUGAAAACAAUAUAAUAUUGUAA